UACAGAGGUGGCAAGCGUUGUUCGGAAUUACUGGGCGUAAAGGGCGCGUAGGCGGCUCGACAAGUCCCGCGUGAAAUCCCCCGGCUCAACUGGGGAACUGCGCGGGAAACUGUCGGACUUGAGUUCGGGAGAGGGAAGCGGAAUUCCGGGUGUAGCGGUGAAAUGCGUAGAUAUCCGGAGGAACACCGGUGGCGAAGGCGGCUUCCUGGACCGACACUGACGCUGAGGCGCGAAAGCUAGGGGAGCAAACGGG
Molecule: ribosomal RNA, 253 nt
Filed under: uncultured bacterium
Lineage: Bacteria
Description: partial 16S ribosomal RNA
Rfam family: Bacterial small subunit ribosomal RNA
Source: RNAcentral